GAUGAAGAACGCAGCGAAAGUGCGAAACGUAAUGUGAAUUGCAGAAUUCAGUGAAUCAUCGAAUCUUUGAACGCACAUUGCGCCCUUGGGUAUUCCUAGGGGCAUGCCUGUUCGAGCGUCAUAAGCAAAACUCGAGCCAUUUUUGCUUGGUGUUGGGCUUGUCGUCACGUAUCCGUGGCGUGCCUGAAAGUUCAGGGCAGUUGCCUCUGGACCUCAAAGUGUAGUAGAAUUCUCGCUUGUUUUUCAGAAAGUAACUAGCCAGCCCCACAGGGGGUGCCAAAAAGAGCAUAUUUGACCUCGGAUCAGGUAGGGACACCCGCUGAACUUAAGCAUAUCAAUAAGCGGAGGA
This 349-nucleotide unclassified non-coding RNA is filed under the name soil metagenome. Its description in RNAcentral is "partial contains 5.8S ribosomal RNA, internal transcribed spacer 2, and large subunit ribosomal RNA". The stretch from base 1 to 121 matches the Rfam family "5.8S ribosomal RNA", at positions 35 to 154 of the family's 154-position model. The record is from RNAcentral.